GACAGAGGGGGCAAGCGUUGCUCGGAAUCACUGGGCGUAAAGGGCGCGUAGGCGGGAUGGCAAGUCAGUCGUGAAAUCUCUCGGCUCAACCGAGAAACGUCGGCUGAUACUGCCGUUCUUGAGGGAUGCAGAGGAGACUGGAAUUCCCGGUGUAGCGGUGAAAUGUGUAGAGAUCGGGAGGAACACCGGUGGCGAAGGCGGGUCUCUGGACAGUUCCUGACGCUGAGGCACGAAAGCGUGGGGAGCGAACAGG
This 253-nucleotide ribosomal RNA is filed under the name uncultured bacterium. RNAcentral's name for it is "partial 16S ribosomal RNA". It matches the Rfam family "Bacterial small subunit ribosomal RNA", at positions 524 to 776 of the family's 1533-position model. The record is from RNAcentral.